UCCGGCUUGACGCCGGCGGUCUCGUUAGAGUUCCCGGCAUGACCCGUUGGCAACUAACGAUAGGGGUUUCGCUCGUUAGAGGACUUAACCCGACACUUCACAGCACGAGCUGACGACAGCCAUGCAGCACCUGUGCUAGUUUCACCCGAAGGCAGCCUACUCCUGUUUCCAAGAGAGCAUCCUAGCAUGUCAAACCCAGGUAAGGUUCUUCGCGUUGCUUCGAAUUAAUCCACAUGCUCCACCGCUUGUGUGAGCCCCCGUCAAUUCCUUUGAGUUUUAGCCUUGCGGCCGUACUCCCCAGGCGGCGCACUUAGCACUUUUGCUCCGGCACGAUCGGCGUUAAAACCUCUCAUACCUAGUGCGCAUCGUUUACGGCGUGGACUAC
RNAcentral lists this unclassified non-coding RNA (385 nucleotides) under uncultured Phycisphaerae bacterium. RNAcentral describes it as "contains 16S-23S intergenic spacer region". Lineage: Bacteria; Pseudomonadati; Planctomycetota; Phycisphaerae. The record is from RNAcentral.